RNAcentral lists this ribosomal RNA (158 nucleotides) under Aspergillus tubingensis. Its description in RNAcentral is "5.8S ribosomal RNA". It matches the Rfam family "5.8S ribosomal RNA". From Rfam's summary of the family: 5.8S ribosomal RNA (5.8S rRNA) is a component of the large subunit of the eukaryotic ribosome. Lineage: Eukaryota; Fungi; Ascomycota; Eurotiomycetes; Eurotiales; Aspergillaceae. The record is from RNAcentral.
ACUUUCAACAAUGGAUCUCUUGGUUCCGGCGUCCAUGAAAAACGCAGCGAAAUGCGAUAACUAAUGUGAAUUGCAUAAUUCAGUGAAUCAUCCAGUCUUUGAACGCACAUUGCGCCCCCUGGUAUUCCGGGGGGCAUGCCUGUCCGAGCGUCAUUGCU